AUAAUUUUUAAAAUUUAAGAAUUAUUUAUUAUAUAUAAAAGUUUUGCAAAUUGUAUCAUUCUCUAACACAUUUAUAUUUUAUAGUUUAAUUUUAUAUAUAGUAACAUUAUACAUACCACAUAACAUUUUUGGUUUUAUAUAAUCUUUUCUAAAUUAGGAUGAUUUGAUAUGUUUAAUAUUAGUGGUCUUAAAAAAUAAUAAAUUAAAGAUUUAACCCGUAUUCAAACAGUGGAUUAAUUAUAUUUUAUUUUUUUAUUAAUGUUGAUUCAAAAACCCGUCUCUCCAAAUCCGUCUUGCCAAAAAGCCAUUUAUUUUAUUAAUAUUAAUUUUAUUUAUGAUAUGACUCUGAAUUAUAAUCUGAAUAUUUUAGCUAAUAACAUAGGAGUGCACCAUAUUUAUUUAAUAGGAGAAUGUACCAUAUGACCCGAAUGCACUUUUAUCCAAAUCCACUAAAAAAGUCUUGCAAAAAUACUGUAGAGAUAAGAAACGAUAGUCGGUUUUGAUAGGUAUAAGAUUAGCAAAUAUAUUAGGUAGCUUAAAUUAGUUAAAGAAUACAAAUUGAAAAGAUAUAUUACACUUUAUUCGAAUAUAGUAUCAAAACUUAUAUAACACAGAGAUUUGAUAAUUGUUUAAUUGUUGAAUACUUUUUUUGUGCUAAUUUUUAUGUGAUUAAGAUUUAAUUGAUUUCGUAUAUAAAAUAUUAAAUUGUUUUACGAACUUAUUUGUUUAUAAUUUGGUAACAGAUAGAUAUUUGAAUAUUUAGUGUAUUUUGCUUCAGUUUAGGAAAUCUUUGAUGACCCGUCUUUAGAUCCAAUAAACCUUAUAAUUAAGAGAUGAAUAUUGUUGUUAAAUGAUUUUGGUAAUCUUAAUGACGUCAUUAAAGAU
Molecule: small RNA, 885 nt
Filed under: Arabidopsis thaliana (thale cress)
Lineage: Eukaryota; Viridiplantae; Streptophyta; Magnoliopsida; Brassicales; Brassicaceae
Description: ATSL225260
Source: RNAcentral